This 75-nucleotide microRNA precursor is filed under the name Myotis davidii. RNAcentral describes it as "mir-9229 microRNA precursor family". It matches the Rfam family "mir-9229 microRNA precursor family". Lineage: Eukaryota; Metazoa; Chordata; Mammalia; Chiroptera; Vespertilionidae. The record is from Rfam by way of RNAcentral.
AGAUACCCUUAUGGGGCAAAACUUGCUUCAGUGGGGCUUUGGUGCUCACUGAGUCUGCCCCCUGAGUGUGUCCCU